AUUGAACGCUGGCGGCAUGCUUUACACAUGCAAGUCGAACGGCAGCGCGGGCUUUGGCCUGGCGGCGAGUGGCGAACGGGUGAGUAAUGCAUCGGAACGUGCCCAGUAGUGGGGGAUAGCCCGGCGAAAGCCGGAUUAAUACCGCAUACGACCUGAGGGUGAAAGCGGGGGACCGAAAGGCCUCGCGCUAUUGGAGCGGCCGAUGUCGGAUUAGCUAGUUGGUGGGGUAAAGGCUUACCAAGGCGACGAUCCGUAGCUGGUCUGAGAGGACGACCAGCCACACUGGGACUGAGACACGGCCCAGACUCCUACGGGAGGCAGCAGUGGGGAAUUUUGGACAAUGGGGGCAACCCUGAUCCAGCCAUGCCGCGUGCGGGAAGAAGGCCUUCGGGUUGUAAACCGCUUUUGUUCGGGAAGAAAGCCUCUGGGCUAAUACCCCGGGGGGAUGACGGUACCGGAAGAAUAAGCACCGGCUAACUACGUG
This 484-nucleotide ribosomal RNA is filed under the name uncultured bacterium. RNAcentral describes it as "partial 16S ribosomal RNA". It matches the Rfam family "Bacterial small subunit ribosomal RNA", at positions 28 to 507 of the family's 1533-position model. The record is from RNAcentral.